Molecule: ribosomal RNA, 441 nt
Filed under: uncultured bacterium
Lineage: Bacteria
Description: partial 16S ribosomal RNA
Rfam family: Bacterial small subunit ribosomal RNA
Source: RNAcentral
CCUACGGGAGGCAGCAGUGGGGAAUAUUGCGCAAUGGGGGAAACCCUGACGCAGCAACGCCGCGUGAGUGAGGAAGUAUCUCGGUAUGUAAAGCUCUAUCAGCGGGGAAGAAAGAGGACGGUACCCGACUAAGAAGCCCCGGCUAACUACGUGCCAGCAGCCGCGGUAAUACGUAGGGGGCGAGCGUUAUCCGGAUUUACUGGGUGUAAAGGGAGCGUAGACGGCGUCGCAAGUCUGAAGUGAAAGCCCGUGGCUCAACCGCGGAACCGCUUUGGAAACUGCGAGGCUGGAGUGCUGGAGAGGUAAGCGGAAUUCCUGGUGUAGCGGUGAAAUGCGUAGAUAUCAGGAGGAACACCGGUGGCGAAGGCGGCUUACUGGACAGUGACUGACGUUGAGGCUCGAAAGCGUGGGGAGCGAACAGGAUUAGAUACCCCUGUAGUC